This 469-nucleotide ribosomal RNA is filed under the name uncultured bacterium. RNAcentral describes it as "SSU rRNA". It matches the Rfam family "Bacterial small subunit ribosomal RNA", at positions 26 to 521 of the family's 1533-position model. The record is from RNAcentral.
AGCCUGAACGCUGGCGGCGUGGCUAAGACAUGCAAGUCGCACGGAUUGUAGCAAUACAGUCAGUGGCGGACGGGUGAGUAAUGUAUCGCUAACGUACCCUGGACUCUGGGAUAGCUAAUCGAAAGGUUAGGUAAUACCAGAUGAGACCACGAAUAGGCAUCUAUUUGUGCUCAAAGGUCCGCCGGUCUGGGAGCGGGCGAUAUCGUAUCAGCUAGUUGGUGAGGUAACGGCUCACCAAGGCGAUGACGCGUAACUGGUCUGAGAGGACGGCCAGUCACAUCGGGACUGAGACACUGCCCGGACUCCUACGGGGGCUGCAGUAACGAAUCUUCCCCAAUGCACGCAAGUGUGAGGGAGCGACGCCGCGUGUAGGACGAAGUCCUUCGGGAUGUAAACUACUGUCAGGGGAUACCAAGUUCUGAGGAUCCCCAGAGGAAGAGGCGGCUAACUCUGCGCCAGCAGCCGCGGU